AUUGAACGCUGGCGGAAUGCUUUACACAUGCAAGUCGAGCGGCAGCGCGGGGGCAACCCUGGCGGCGAGCGGCGAACGGGUGAGUAAUACAUCGGAACGUGUCCUUAAGUGGGGGAUAGCUCGGCGAAAGCCGGAUUAAUACCGCAUAAGCUCUGAGGAGGAAAGCGGGGGCUCCGUAAGGACCUCGCGCUGUUGGAGCGGCCGAUGUCGGAUUAGCUAGUUGGUGGGGUAAAGCCCACCAAGGCGACGAUCCGUAGCUGGUCUGAGAGGAUGAUCAGCCACACUGGAACUGAGACACGGUCCAGACUCCUACGGGAGGCAGCAGUGGGGAAUUUUGGACAAUGGGGGCAACCCUGAUCCAGCCAUUCCGCGUGAGUGAAGAAGGCCU
This 388-nucleotide ribosomal RNA is filed under the name uncultured bacterium. RNAcentral describes it as "bacterial SSU rRNA". It matches the Rfam family "Bacterial small subunit ribosomal RNA", at positions 29 to 417 of the family's 1533-position model. The record is from RNAcentral.